This 657-nucleotide long non-coding RNA is filed under the name Callithrix jacchus (white-tufted-ear marmoset). RNAcentral's name for it is "lncRNA (ENSCJAG00000082529.1)". The record is from RNAcentral. Lineage: Eukaryota; Metazoa; Chordata; Mammalia; Primates; Cebidae.
GGACUCAGGCAGGGGCGCCUCAUCCCGCACACGCGGCCCUCAGCCCUGGGACGAGGAGCACGCUGCUUCCCGGACACUUUGAAGAACUCUGAGCAUUGGUGACAAGGCCGGGGUUUUACCAGCUUUCAUCAGGCUCUCCUGAAUGUGAGGUGGAGGGUCUCACUAUGUCACCCAGGCCGGUCCUGACUCCUGACCUCAAGUGAUCCUUUUGCCUUGGCCUUUCAAAGUUCUGGGGUUACAGGUGUGAGCCCCCGCACCCGGCCGGCUUUCUCUCUUCACCCAGGAAGAAGUGCUAUGGAGGAGCAGGCCUCUGAGAUGCCACAUAGAACCAAGAGGGCCCCUCACUCCAGUGCCAUCGCCGUCCGAGACGUCAGCGACACAGCAGUGAACACCUGACAUGGAGGCAGCCCCUGCUGUAGCAGGCUCCGGUUUACGUCAUUGCAAGAGGAAAUGCAAAUCACUAGAUGACCUACUCUACACAAUAAAGAUGGCAGAUACACAACCAGUGGUUGUGAAAGGUGACAGUCAUUCCAGGUGCUCAUAAAAGACAUUUACGUGGAGACAUUGUUCCUCGUGACUGCAAGAGUAUUUGGUUUCGAACAACUGAUUAUCUUUUAAAUAGAUUCCCUUUGUCUGUUCCUGAUUCUUUUAUCUCGA